Molecule: ribosomal RNA, 399 nt
Filed under: uncultured bacterium
Lineage: Bacteria
Description: bacterial SSU rRNA
Rfam family: Bacterial small subunit ribosomal RNA
Source: RNAcentral
AUUGAACGCUGGCGGCGUGCCUAACACAUGCAAGUCGAGCGGUAACGCGGGAGCAAUCCUGGCGACGAGCGGCAGACGGGUGAGUAAUGCUUGGGUAUCUGCCCAAUAGUGGGGAAUAACCAGUCGAAAGACUGGCUAAUACCGCAUAACGCCCCCUCUUCUUCGGAAAAGGGGGGAAAGCGGGGGAUCGCAAGACCUCGCGCUAAUGGAUGAGCCCAAGUCGGAUAGCUAGUUGGUGAGGUAACGGCUCACCAAGGCGACGAUCCGUAGCUGGUCUGAGAGGACGACCAGCCACACCGGAACUGAGACACGGUCCGGACUCCUACGGGAGGCAGCAGUGGGGAAUAUUGGACAAUGGGGAAACCCUGAUCCAGCGACGCCGCGUGUGUGAAGAAGGCC